Molecule: long non-coding RNA, 565 nt
Organism: Oreochromis aureus
Lineage: Eukaryota; Metazoa; Chordata; Actinopteri; Cichliformes; Cichlidae
Source: Ensembl
GUUUUCCUCAGUGGACACUACUUAUGAAGGGAGUCAUAAAGCUGCUGGACAACAGCACUUCAUUAAACAGGUCUCCACUUCAUCAGACAUCACCUAGACAGAGCUGGAUGAGACCAGCACAAACAGCAGCCUAACCGACGAAGAUGAUGGAUCCAUGGGGUCAGGAAAGCCAGAAGCAGAGGAGCUGGAAAGGUACCUUUCAUGUCCAUUCACUGGAGGUGUGGAUCUAUUGCAUGGCUUUCCUCACAUCAGGAAGCUUUCGCUCAAAGACAGCUCUUCCUGCAUCUGCAGCCUGUGAGAGACUUUCUAGUCAUGCAGGACUCCUGUUCACUGCCAAACGGUCACAGCUUCACAGCAAGAACCUUGAGAGCCAACGGCUGCUGAAGCUGAACCACCAUUUCACUGACUGAAGAAACAAUUUAUGGUAAAGUGAGCCAUACACAUAUGUACAUCCACAUAGUGGAAAUUUGUAUUUGUCUUUUAUAAUUAGUUUUACUGUGAUUUCAGUGUUUGUGAGUGUAGUUUUUACAUUUUUACAUAUUACAUUGUGUUAAUCCACUGUCUA